GAUGAACGCUGGCUACAGGCUUAACACAUGCAAGUCGAGGGGAAACGACGGGGAAGCUUGCUUCCCCGGGCGUCGACCGGCGCACGGGUGAGUAACGCGUAUCCAACCUGCCUCUGACUGAGGGAUAACCCGUCGAAAGUCGGCCUAAUACCUCAUGGCAUCGUCUGCGGGCAUCCAACGACGAUUAAAGAUUUCAUCGGUCAGGGAUGGGGAUGCGUCUGAUUAGCUUGUUGGCGGGGUAACGGCCCACCAAGGCGACGAUCAGUAGGGGUUCUGAGAGGAAGGUCCCCCACAUUGGAACUGAGACACGGUCCAAACUCCUACGGGAGGCAGCAGUGAGGAAUAUUGGUCAAUGGGCGGGAGCCUGAACCAGCCAAGUAGCGUGCAGGAUGACGGCCCUAUGGGUUGUAAACUGCUUUUAUGCGGGGAUAAAGUGCAGGACGUGUCCUUCAUUGCAGGUACCGCAUGAAUAAGGACCGGCUAAUUCCGUGCCAGCAGCCGCGGUAAUACGGAAGGUUCGGGCGUUAUCCGGAUUUAUUGGGUUUAAAGGGAGCGUAGGCCGUGGAUUAAGCGUGUUGUGAAAUGCAGGUGCUCAACGUCUGCACUGCAGCGCGAACUGGUCCACUAGAGUGUGCGCAACGCAGGCGGAAUUCGUCGUGUAGCGGUGAAAUGCUUAGAUAUGACGAAGAACUCCGAUUGCGAAGGCAGCUUGCGGGAGCACAACUGACGCUGAAGCUCGAAAGUGCGGGUAUCGAACAGG
Molecule: ribosomal RNA, 760 nt
Filed under: uncultured Prevotella sp.
Lineage: Bacteria; Pseudomonadati; Bacteroidota; Bacteroidia; Bacteroidales; Prevotellaceae
Description: bacterial SSU rRNA
Rfam family: Bacterial small subunit ribosomal RNA
Source: RNAcentral